GAAAAUGUAGCAAACAUGUAUGACCAAAGUUAUAUAGGUUGAAUCAUUUAUCACCUUUACAGAGCUCAUAAUUAUUGUCCUUCAGAACAACAAUACAACAUCUAGCUAUGGUAUAUCAUCAUGUGUCUAUUUUAUUGGAACUAUCAUUCAAAUAAUUGUUUUUGAAUGUUGAAAUUUGACUCAAAAAUCUAAAUUCCUUUGACUGAACAUGAUCUACGACACUCACUAAAUUCUCCUUGUCAUCUUAAAAAGAACUUUAUCAUAUGGAGUUAUGGUUUACAUUUUCCAGCAUCACUUCAACCAAUUAUUAUGCUCAAAACAGGCCCUUAACCUUCAAAUCUAACUAACGAAGUCAAAACUGAAACAUAUAUGAAAUUAUUGUAGGCCGAACAAUGGCCAUCUUAAUCAAAUAUUUAUCGUUAUUUCUUUCAACACAACACAAUCAUUUAAGUGAGAGGAAGAGAUCGUAUACAGUUUGUAUCAUCAACAAAAAAUUUGGAAAGGAAAAAAUUAGGGUCAAGAAAGCAAAAGGGCCAAAUUGCACUUUACAAAAUAGAAGGAACGAGAUUAUGGGUCCAAUAAUUCAGAUAGAAGGAACUAAAAUAUGUCAAACCUUAAUGUCGCAGUCCAAAGCGCCAUAGUUGAAAACGAGAGUCGAAAAACGAGCGAGCAGAGACGUCAGACGAAGAACCGUCGAAGGCGCCCUAACGCACUGAUGAACGGAGGAGAAGGAGCCCUUGACGAAACAGAGGAGAAAAGCCCUAACACAAUGAUGAAUGAGAAUAGCAGCAUGAAUGAAACAGAGAAGCUACGCAGUGAAUGUCGCGGGCAGUGAUAGUGAAUGUCGCGGAGUCGUAGCAGCGGGAAGGAAAAUAUUUUAAUCAUAAUAGGAGAAAGCG
RNAcentral lists this long non-coding RNA (899 nucleotides) under Vigna radiata. Its description in RNAcentral is "long non-coding RNA (VRAD_LNC007857)". Lineage: Eukaryota; Viridiplantae; Streptophyta; Magnoliopsida; Fabales; Fabaceae. The record is from RNAcentral.